CCCUUCGGGGUGUGACUGCGUACCUUUUGUAUAAUGGGUCAGCGACUUAUAUUCUGUAGCAAGGUUAACCGUAUAGGGGAGCCGUAGGGAAACCGAGUCUUAACCGGGCGUUAAGUUGCAGGGUAUAGACCCGAAACCCGGUGAUCUAGCCAUGGGCAGGUUGAAGGUUGGGUAACACUAACUGGAGGACCGAACCGACUAAUGUUGAAAAAUUAGCGGAUGACCUGUGGCUGGGGGUGAAAGGCCAAUCAAACCGGGAGAUAGCUGGUUCUCCCCGAAAGCUAUUUAGGUAGCGCCUCGUGAAUUCAUCUCCGGGGGUAGAGCACUGUUUCGGCUAGGGGGCCAUCCCGGCUUACCAACCCGAUGCAAACUGCGAAUACCGGAGAAUGUUAUCACGGGAGACACACGGCGGGUGCUAACGUCCGUCGUGAAGAGGGAAACAACCCAGACCGCCAGCUAAGGUCCCAAAGUCAUGGUUAAGUGGGAAACGAUGUGGGAAGGCCCAGACAGCCAGGAUGUUGGCUUAGAAGCAGCCAUCAUUUAAAGAAAGCGUAAUAGCUCACUGGUCGAGUCGGCCUGCGCGGAAGAUGUAACGGGGCUAAACCAUGCACCGAAGCUGCGGCAGCGACACUGUGUGUUGUUGGGUAGGGGAGCGUUCUGUAAGCCUGUGAAGGUGGCCUGUGAGGGUUGCUGGAGGUAUCAGAAGUGCGAAUGCUGACAUAAGUAACGAUAAAGCGGGUGAAAAGCCCGCUCGCCGGAAGACCAAGGGUUCCUGUCCAACGUUAAUCGGGGCAGGGUGAGUCGACCCCUAAGGCGAGGCCGAAAGGCGUAGUCGAUGGGAAACGGGUUAAUAUUCCCGUACUUGGUGUUACUGCGAAGGGGGGACGGAGAAGGCUAUGUUGGCCGGGCGACGGUUGUCCCGGUUUAAGCGUGUAGGUGUGUGUUCCAGGUAAAUCCGGUUCACUUUAACACUGAGGCGUGACGACGAGGCACUACGGUGCUGAAGCAACAAAUGCCCUGCUUCCAGGAAAAGCCUCUAAGCAUCAGGUAACAUCAAAUCGUACCCCAAACCGACACAGGUGGUCAGGUAGAGAAUACCAAGGCGCUUGAGAGAACUCGGGUGAAGGAACUAGGCAAAAUGGUGCCGUAACUUCGGGAGAAGGCACGCUGACACGUAGGUGAAGUGAUUUACUCACGGAGCUGAAGUCAGUCGAAGAUACCAGCUGGCUGCAACUGUUUAUUAAAAACACAGCACUGUGCAAACACGAAAGUGGACGUAUACGGUGUGACGCCUGCCCGGUGCCGGAAGGUUAAUUGAUGGGGUCAGCGCAAGCGAAGCUCCUGAUCGAAGCCCCGGUAAACGGCGGCCGUAACUAUAACGGUCCUAAGGUAGCGAAAUUCCUUGUCGGGUAAGUUCCGACCUGCACGAAUGGCGUAAUGAUGGCCAGGCUGUCUCCACCCGAGACUCAGUGAAAUUGAACUCGCUGUGAAGAUGCAGUGUACCCGCGGCAAGACGGAAAGACCCCGUGAACCUUUACUAUAGCUUGACACUGAACAUUGAGCCUUGAUGUGUAGGAUAGGUGGGAGGCUUUGAAGUGUGGACGCCAGUCUGCAUGGAGCCGACCUUGAAAUACCACCCUUUAAUGUUUGAUGUUCUAACGUGGACCCGUAAUCCGGGUUGCGGACAGUGUCUGGUGGGUAGUUUGACUGGGGCGGUCUCCUCCUAAAGAGUAACGGAGGAGCACGAAGGUUGGCUAAUCCUGGUCGGACAUCAGGAGGUUAGUGCAAUGGCAUAAGCCAGCUUGACUGCGAGCGUGACGGCGCGAGCAGGUGCGAAAGCAGGUCAUAGUGAUCCGGUGGUUCUGAAUGGAAGGGCCAUCGCUCAACGGAUAAAAGGUACUCCGGGGAUAACAGGCUGAUACCGCCCAAGAGUUCAUAUCGACGGCGGUGUUUGGCACCUCGAUGUCGGCUCAUCACAUCCUGGGGCUGAAGUAGGUCCCAAGGGUAUGGCUGUUCGCCAUUUAAAGUGGUACGCGAGCUGGGUUUAGAACGUCGUGAGACAGUUCGGUCCCUAUCUGCCGUGGGCGCUGGAGAACUGAGGGGGGCUGCUCCUAGUACGAGAGGACCGGAGUGGACGCAUCACUGGUGUUCGGGUUGUCAUGCCAAUGGCACUGCCCGGUAGCUAAAUGCGGAAGAGAUAAGUGCUGAAAGCAUCUAAGCACGAAACUUGCCCCGA
This 2236-nucleotide ribosomal RNA is filed under the name Salmonella enterica subsp. enterica serovar Virchow. Its description in RNAcentral is "partial 23S ribosomal RNA". It matches the Rfam family "Bacterial large subunit ribosomal RNA", at positions 582 to 2802 of the family's 2925-position model. Lineage: Bacteria; Pseudomonadati; Pseudomonadota; Gammaproteobacteria; Enterobacterales; Enterobacteriaceae. The record is from RNAcentral.